This is a long non-coding RNA of Acanthaster planci (crown-of-thorns starfish), 5410 nucleotides long. The record is from RefSeq and is a predicted model, not a curated record. NCBI's taxonomy places the organism in Eukaryota, Metazoa, Echinodermata, Asteroidea, Valvatida, Acanthasteridae.
GUUAUGCUGAUUAGGUUUGCUUCAAACAGUAAUGCACCUUUUUCAUCCAUUCAUUUAUUCAUUCAUUCAUCCCUCCAUUCAUUCAUUCGUUACGGUGUAUUGUAAAACUGAUCAAACAACAAGUCCAAAGACUAACAAUGUCUGAUUUACAAUACAAAAGAAUAAAAUGUAAUAAAAAUUACAGCCAAACAGCAAAAGGGGGAUAUUAUAAAGAUAUAUACAAGAUAGAUUGAAACUUAUAAAAAAUAUUGGAAAGGUAAACAAUAACACCAAUAAAAACACACACAAAUUUACAGACAAGUACCAGCAUUCAGUAGCGUAGCCAUGAAAGGAAUUGGAGAUUGCUUAUAUUUUGAAUCCUUGAACAGGGAAUAUUGAGCAGUUGGAAUUUCAAUUUAAAAUGUCCUUUACAAAUUCAACAAAACUGCAGUCAAAGAUGUGCUUGCAGAAAAUGUAUACCACCUCUCAAAGGUAGUACCAUUUGUGUUGGCUGUAUUUUUUCAAAAUUAGUCGAUUGUGAAUGGGCUAUUUUCCUUGGGUAUCAUUCCAUUGACUUGUUGCAUAUUUUGAGUUCAUUACUUCUAGAAUAAUCAACAAAAUUGCUGUUUGUUUUUAACAUUCAAAGCACAGCUCGUGUAAUUCAUCUUGCAAAAAUGCCAUGGACCUCAGGACAUUCAGAGUGCCUGGAUAAAGCAUGGCUUCAAGUACAUUUAGUGGUUGGCAAAUUUACCUUUAAGUGUGUGUCUCUUUCCUCAGCAAUUAAAUGCUGUGGAUUUGUCAAAUAAACAACACUUCACUGUACGGUAGAAUGAGUGCCAUCACCACAGCCACAAUCCAUCAAAAUGCAUGCAUGACCCACAUGCUUAUGUCACAUGCAAGUCAGUCAAAAAAGCAAAUGAAAAAUCAACAAAAAUAGUAUCUACCCUUGAUUAUUGGCAAAAAGUUAUUGUGACAGGAAAGUAGGAAGUGAAAUGUCCGGAAUCACAGAUUUUGUUCAAGGACAUGGGCUUCAGCACUGAGUCUGGAAAGGAGAGGCCAUGUUGCCCAUUACUGCUCAGUUCGGAUCAUGCAUAAAUUCAAUUUCAAAUUCUCCUUUGAUCUGUCAUCAACAGAUGUACAGUAUAUCUAUUUUGUCAGAUGAUGGUGAAAAUGACAGCAUUCCAGGCAGAAAGAUUUCACAUAAUGUCUCGCGGUGUAAUUUAGUUACUUUAUGUUAAGAUAUCUUAAUAUAAUUCAGCAGUCCCAUUUUUGAUACUAACAGUGUACACUACCUUUAACUUCAAAUGGAAAUCUAGUAUGCUGUGCAUGUGCCAUUUGUUUGUUCAAUAUGGACUGCAUUAUCAUGUAUUGCAUCUACAUGUAACUGCAGUUGAACACAAUUAAUACGAGCACACUUUAGACAAGAUCAUGCUCACAAUGAGCAUAUGUGACCCAGCGCGAGUAAAUGACGUGUAUUGUGGCAUAAGUAGAUUACUUUACUGGCAAAAUACGAGUACGGGGGUCAAAUAAAUUGAUUUUUGUUUAUUUGGGGGGGCUGAAAAACGUACCUUGGAAUGUCUACACAUACUUUCAUAUGCUAUAUAUUUCUGAAAAUUCUGAUGAUAGCAUGUGCUUUAGUAUUUUUCUUAGACGUGUCCAUUCCAGAAUUUCACUACUUUCACAGGUUUCGUUCGAAAGAGAGCUCAAGAACAGUUGUACUUUGACAGCCAUCGCUGAGCCGCUUGAACAUCCAAGGGUGCCAUGUUUGAUACUGUGGGAAAGGGAAUUGCCUGGGCUAUAAAUAAAGGUCAAGAAAUCCAUCAAAACCAAUAACAAAACAUGAAAGAAAAUUUAAACAGCUACGGCCUCAUUACAUUGCUGUGCCAUAAAGUCGAGUGCCAUUGGCUGUUCUUGAUCAUGUGGUACAUGUAGCUUAGUGUAUGCUGAUGUCAUUUCUGCGCUCGCGCAGUAGAUGAAUGUUACACCUCGCUUGCAUAACUACAUUAUCUAAACUGUUUCCAAUGGCAAAGAGAACGUGUUUGCAAUGGGUUGCUGUCAUGAAUUCUCAAGAGAAUCAUAUUUCAGAGUUACUAAUCAGUAUUAGGGGCUGCAAGUUACACAAAAGAGAAGAAGAGGGUGCCGAAUGGAAGCAGUUUAUCGAUGAUUAUUUUGUAAGUGGUAAAUCCAGCCUCUGAAGAAUCUGAAAGUGACAAGGGCGAGGAUAGUAGUGACAUGUAUAACUGGGAGAAUGAUCUACUGCAGAGCGCCAAUGCAAGUAGCCUUCAAAUCCCUCUUGUCUGUUGUGACAACAUUGAUAGUGGUAAUAGUGACAAAGAUUUGCAUGUUGGGGAAAGAAUUGCAUGUGAGGAAGCCAAGAAUUGGGUUAGUGACCAUUUUGAAACCAAGAAACGAGAGCUUCAAAUGUACCUGCAAAAGUAAAGGAGGUCAUCAGGCUUUCACUAGUGAUGCAUUGCUCACAUCAUGUCUGGAACUUGGUGCAUUCAAUGAAGGUGGGUUUAGACCAAUGUUACUUGCUAAUACUACAUGAUUAGUUGGUUGAUUUGAUCCUUGAGGAGAAUUUGUGACAAGUUUUUCUUACUGUUUUCAUUUAUUUGGUGGUUGGCGGGUGGAAUGCCAUCGUACUACCACAUGGGUCCUAGCCCUAUGAUACUGCUUGUAUACUUUCCGUGGCUGAAGCAAGCAUGGUGGUGUAUUUUCAGGCAAUGGGUAUUCACCUCAAGAUGGCAAUUUGAUCAACAAGUUUAUUUUGCUGUAGUCCUUUGGUUUGUUACAAACAGAACAACUUUUGGCAAGCAAUAUCUUUUCAAAAAGAACAAUGUAAGCCUAGUAUCUAUGCCUUCACACAUGCUAUAAUGCUCCCAGCUAGGGUAGAGGGCCACGGACGAAACGAUAAUGUGCUGCUUCUGAGCAACUCUACAAAAACCAGUGUACAAGAACAUGACAACGGGGGAUCAGCAAACACAAGUGAAAAAGGGAACAAGCUGAAGGAGCAGGAGAAGCCCCAUCUGACUGCUACCAAGCAGCACUCCCACUACACAGCCCAUGUACAACAAGCCAAAGCAGCUAUAGAUGAACACCUUGAUUCUGCAGACAAAUCAUCAUCAAUCGUCUACAACUACACACUACAACUACAACGUCUACAACUCGUUUGAUUUUGCACAAGUGCACUUUCCUCAUAGCCUCUUCAACCAGAGCACAUCUAUUUCCUGACACCCUGGAAGUGCCUGAUAUUUGGUGUUGAUACCGAGGCCAUUCCGAAACAAGUGAACAUCUUGAUGGAUGAGUUUUGUCAUCGACCUGGUUAUCAACCUUUUUUACCUAUUUUUUAAUCAGCACAGUUUAAAGGAACCAUCACUUAAAUUACACUGUGGACACUGUUGUGGCCAAAACACAAACAGGUGCAUGCUGUGGCAGGUGACCUACAGCCAUCAUUACUCCAUGACACUCAACUUUCUCUUAGCUGGACACACCAAGUUUGCACCAGAUAAGUACUUGCUGUGGUACAUGCUGUGGCAGGUGACCUACAGCCAUCACCACUCCAUGACACUCAACUUUCUCUUAGCUGGACACACCAAGUUUGCACCAGAUAAGUACUUGCUUUGGUACAUGCUGUGGCGGGUGACCUACAGCCAUCACCACUCCAUGACACUCAACUUUCUCUUAGCUGGACACACCAAGUUUGCACCAGAUAAGUACUUGCUGUGGUACAUGCUGUGGCAGGUGACCUACAGCCAUCACCACUCCAUGACACUCAACUUCCUCUUAGCUGGAUGCACCAAGUUUGCACCAGACUGAUUAUUUGGUCUUUCGAAGAAGCGUUACUGUGUGACUGAUGUGUCCAGUCUAGAGGAGUUGUGUGAUGUUGUGGGCACAAGUUCCCUUCCAAAUCUGAAUGUACCUCAAUUAGUUGGGAAGGAGGAUGGUACCCAGUUUGUUCCCCAGUAUGACUGGCACAUAUUGCCAGGCCCAUACUUCAGAGCACUUCCAGGCAUUAAGAAAUAUCUCCUUUUAGGUAUGAAACUCUAUUUGCUCUUUGCAUGCUGUCGCCAAUGGCAUGCAGAGCCGUAUCCUGGAAGCUUUACACAAUCAAUGUAGCCAGUCUAGUGAUUCCUGUGUAUGUAGCUUAUUUAAGUUUGUAAUUGCUCAAAAAGAGAUAUAUCCAUGAUGCCAACGCAAACCUAUCUAGUUUACAACAAUGUUUUCACUUUGUAUCUUGCUACAAUUGUUUUGAUAGAUUAUUAUGUUUAUGUAUGUUGAAAAUGUACCUCUUUGUUUUUACCUUCCCGUUUAAUUACAGGUUUACUUCAGAUGAACCAGGGUGCUUUUAUGUCAGAGAAUUUGCAGACUCAGAAGAGGAGUGUUUUCAUCUUCUCAAGUGCAAUACUGUACCUCCUCAUAAGUUAAAUUACCACAAGAGAGAGAUGUACCUGGGCUCUGUGCAGCAAGGCAGUGGUAUCUCUUCAACAACAUCCAUCAGUUUUGCUCCAAUGAUAGCAAGGAGGUGACAUGUCCACUUCAAAGUGUUCCCUGACCACAAGCUCAUACUGAGAAGUGACUCCAAUGUACAAGCCAGCAUGUGGAGGAAAUCAUCCAAACCUGCUCUAAGUCUCCCCCUGCACCAUCUUUGUGAAAGGCACUGGUAUAGAUCAAGGGGAAAGAACAGCCCAGUUCUGGUAGCAUUUUUCACAGUGCCGAAGAAGUCUUGCAUUUCAGUUUGUAUGGACUCUAAAAACAUUGAAAUACAUCAUGGCCUUUCCAUUUCAUUGGUUCCUUUUCGUCUCUGCAGUAACUCAACUCCAUCAGCUUGAUUAUUAGCCAUCACGUCGGUGUCUCAAUACCCUGAUUUUUGCACAUUUUAAUAGCAGUGUGGUACACUUUAACACAUCGCUGGUUGAGAGGUGCAUGUGAGAUUCUAUUAUAACAACAAACUUUUCCAAGGAAAGAUGGGACUGAGUUGUGGCAUACAAAUGAUUUAUUCUGAAAGUCAGUUUGAUGUCUAAAGGAAAUAUGAACUCAAACAUUUUAAGCGAUGUUUCAUUCAGAAUUUAAAAUCACUUUGACUGAAUACAAACUCUAAAGGCACAAACUCAAUUUAUUUCUAAAAGCAUGAUAUGAUGUAUCCUAAAAUGCCAUUGUCUAGUGUUGGUUAAAAAACUCAAACAAAAUGUAACGUGAGAAACAUUACAUGAAAUGUGAAAAAAUGUGAACGUUUGACAACUUAGUUGUUGGGUUUUGAUGUUAAAAAAACUUCAGAAGUUAAAUGAGCUCUUUGGUAUUGGCACAUGUUAUCGGUGUUCGGGCUUAAAGAAGUUUUUGGUGAGUCAAUCAAAUUUUACGUUGAGAAAUGGUUACCCUCAGACUUUCAUAUACACCCAGCGAACUUUUUGUAUGGUAAAGUUAUUAAAAAAAA